RNAcentral lists this ribosomal RNA (253 nucleotides) under uncultured bacterium. RNAcentral describes it as "partial 16S ribosomal RNA". It matches the Rfam family "Bacterial small subunit ribosomal RNA", at positions 524 to 776 of the family's 1533-position model. The record is from RNAcentral.
UACAGAGGUCCCGAGCGUUGUUCGGAUUUAUUGGGCGUAAAGGGUGCGUAGGUGGCAAAGUAAGUUGGAUGUGAAAUCCUGGGGCUUAACCUCAGAAUUGCAUUCAAUACUGCUUAGCUAGAGAGCUGUAGAGGAGACUGGAAUUUACGGUGCAGCAGUGAAAUGCGUAGAUAUCGUAAGGAACGCCAGUGGCGAAAGCGAGUCUCUGGGCAGCAUCUGACACUGAGGCACGAAGGCCAGGGGAGCAAACGGG